CCUACGGGCGGCAGCAGUGAGGAAUAUUGGUCAAUGGACGAAACUCUGAACCAGCCAAGUAGCGUGAAGGAUGACGGCCCUAUGGGUUGUAAACUUCUUUUAUAUGGGGAUAAACUGUGCCACGUGUGGGCUUUUGUAUGUACCAUAUGAAUAAGGACCGGCUAACUCCGUGCCAGCAGCCGCGGUAAUACGGAGGGUCCGGGCGUUAUCCGGAUUUAUUGGGUUUAAAGGGAGCGCAGGCGGCUUCUGAAGUAAGUUGUGAAAUGUCGCGGCUCAACCGUGAAACUGCAGUGGAAACUGGCAGUCUUGAGUACAGUAGAGGUGGGCGGAAUUCGUGGUGUAGCGGUGAAAUGCUUAGAUAUCACGAAGAACUCCGAUUGCGAAGGCAGUUCACUGGAGUGUAACUGACACUGAGGCUCGAAAGUGUGGGUAUCAAACAGGAUUAGAUACCCCUGUAGUC
Molecule: ribosomal RNA, 460 nt
Filed under: uncultured bacterium
Lineage: Bacteria
Description: partial 16S ribosomal RNA
Rfam family: Bacterial small subunit ribosomal RNA
Source: RNAcentral